AGGGAAUCUUCCACAAUGGACGGAAGUCUGAUGGAGCAACGCCGCGUGAGUGAUGAAGGUUUUCGGAUCGUAAAACUCUGUUGUAAGGGAAGAACCAGUACGUCAGGCAAUGGACGUACCUUGACGGUACCUUAUUAGAAAGCCACGGCUAACUACGUGCCAGCAGCCGCGGUAAUACGUAGGUGGCAAGCGUUGUCCGGAAUUAUUGGGCGUAAAGCGCGCGCAGGUGGUUUCUUAAGUCUGAUGUGAAAGCCCACGGCUUAACCGUGGAGGGUCAUUGGAAACUGGGAGACUUGAGUGCAGAAGAGGAAAGUGGAAUUCCAAGUGUAGCGGUGAAAUGCGUAGAGAUUUGGAGGAACACCAGUGGCGAAGGCGGCUUGCUGGACAAAUACUGACGCUGAGGUGCGAAAGCGUGGGGAGCAAACA
RNAcentral lists this ribosomal RNA (426 nucleotides) under uncultured Caryophanaceae bacterium. RNAcentral describes it as "bacterial SSU rRNA". It matches the Rfam family "Bacterial small subunit ribosomal RNA", at positions 356 to 774 of the family's 1533-position model. The record is from RNAcentral. Lineage: Bacteria; Bacillati; Bacillota; Bacilli; Caryophanales; Caryophanaceae.